AAUAUAUGUCUGAGGUACAGCUGUUCUUCCAUCAGCAAACUCCUUUUGGAAGAAUUAUUCAGUCUCCACUUUAAUUCAAGUAAAACAUGAACUUGUCAGAAAGUAUGAGGAUGACAGCCACCCUUUGAUGACUCUCAGACUUUUGCCACAUAGAUCUGCACUAUUGGGUACUGCUUGCAGCUUCAGAGACUGCCAAACAGAGAAAUUCACCAGGGAUGAUCACCAAUUUCCCACCUCACCUCUGUAGUCUUCAUAUACACAGGGGAGAGGGAAGGACUUCCAAAGCCAAGUCUGAAAGUGGUGUGGGGAAGAAAAAUUGUCCUUUGCUGCGUCACACUCCUCAACACAACCUGACAGCAAUAACCAGAAGACUCAACUUGCAGCACCUGGGUUCUGUUGGAGUCUCCUCCCACCCCAGGUGUGAGCACUUUGCUCUCCCUGCCCACUCCCUAUUUAAUGGGCCCCAGGAAAGGCAGUGUCCAAGCUUGCCCAUCUGGGCAGAGGGAUCCUCCUGAUCCUGUCAUCUCUGGCUACCUUUCUCAAAGAAUAUUGAUCUUGCCACUUCAUUGCAGCUUAGUACCAAAGAACCAUGGAGCUGUUGAGCUUGGAAGAGACCUUCAAAAUUAUCAAGCCCAACCACUAAUUUGAACCCACAGUCCUAACACUACUGCUAAGUAACUACCACUAAACCAUGUCCCUAAGCACCACAUCCAUGUGUCUUUUAAAUACAUUAGAGAUGAUGACUCCAUCAUGUCUCUGGACAACCUGCUUGUUUCAUUGAAUUUUUGGUUUGGUCUGGUUUGGUUUAUUUUAGGUUUUGCAGGUGCUGCUUUGAGGUUUGUUUUUUGGUUGUUUUUUUCCAAUGGAAAACUCUAGAAGGUUUGAUUAUGUAGACCCCUAAGGUUCUUAUCCACCCUUAUGUGUGUAUCUUAGUAUUCCUAUUCAAUAUUACUGGCAUAUUAUGGGCUUUGUGGAACUUGGUCUCAUUGUGGCAUAAAAGGAGACAGUUUCUGGGUGAGGAGUAUGCUCUGAAGUAGACAGUCCCUGAGUAGCAGGGUUUCUGGAAGGAUUUGGGCAGAUUCCUAGGAUGAUAAUCACCUCCCAGAGCCUGAUACCUUACCCUAGAAGAGGCAAGUGAUUCUGGUAAACUGACAUGCCAUCUGAUAGAAGGAUGCCUUCAAUAUCCCAUUGAAAACCAACAACUUCUAGCACUUUACUGGGGCUUGACCUGUGCUUAUCAAGCCACUGUUCAGUACUCCAAAAGGACUGUGGUUGAGGCAGGCAUCCAAAAUUCACCUGCCGAUGCCAUAGUUGAGAUGAGGACCCAAGCAACAACUACAGUGAUUAUCCCUGUAGUGAAGAAGAAACAAUGGACAAGAGGUCAACAGGUCCGUAUCACUGAUUAAUAAGGGAAGAAGAAGGAGAGGAAGACUCUGAUCAAAGGCCUGGUCCAUCAACUAGGAUAUCAGAAGUGAAAAAAAACAGGAGGCAGAGACUACCAAGUCCCUGAGCUCAUCAGAACUUAGAGACAUUUGGGAAGAUUACAGCUGCCAGUCAGGAGAGCAGAUUGCUGCCUCACUCCUUGAAUGCUGGGAUAGAGGGACCAACAGUCAGCUGCUGGGAGGUAGAGAAGCUGGACAACUGGAACUCCUCACUAGAAAGUAAGGGGUUGAGAAAGGAAUUGGAAAAGAAAUGGGUAAUUUCAUUCUUUGGGUUUGCCUCUUCUCAAGAGUAAGGGCAAGGUACUCAUUCAAGGAAGAUCAUGUCAUUUUGCAGGAAAGUGGAAUACCGCAGAUGAAGGUAUCCAGUGCCAGAAGGAAUUAGCAGCUUUGGUGUGCAUCUUACCCUCAGCCAGGGUCAAGCCAACAGAAAAGCUCACUGUAGAAGUAUUCUGUGAGUCUUUGAAAUAAAUCUACUCUAUGACCUAA
Molecule: long non-coding RNA, 1928 nt
Organism: Pogoniulus pusillus (Red-fronted tinkerbird)
Lineage: Eukaryota; Metazoa; Chordata; Aves; Piciformes; Lybiidae
Exons: 5
Source: RefSeq, a predicted model, not a curated record